This is a non-coding RNA of Oryza sativa Japonica Group (Japanese rice), 1544 nucleotides long. The record is from RefSeq and is a predicted model, not a curated record. NCBI's taxonomy places the organism in Eukaryota, Viridiplantae, Streptophyta, Magnoliopsida, Poales, Poaceae.
AGGUAGGGGUCCGUGAUUUCCUGCCGGGAUCAGACCGGGGCUUCUCUUCCCUUUCUCUCUGAGCGCCAUCUCUUUCCUUUUCUCCCUGUUUUGUUCUGAUUCUCGACGAUUUCUUGGCCCACGCAUAGGGAUUUCCCCCUCUAGAACCAGCGCAGGGGAAGGAAAGAUGGGUCCGGUCGAUCGGCGCAUGCGUCGUGCCUUUGCUGCCGCCGGCGCAGGGGAUGGGGGGAUGGCGCUCAGAUCUGGAACGAGCGCGCCUCCAUCCGCUCGUCCGGUCGAUCGGCGCGUGCCGUUGUUUCCGCCGGCGCAAUGAUCCCCUUGGAGCAAUGGAGGUGGUAGGCGGAGGGAAGGAUGGGUGUGGUGUUCAGAACCAAGCACCGGCGGGGAGAUGCGGCUGCAUAAGGUGCUGCGGGUGUCGUGGCGUAGGAAAACGGAGAAGAACCGGAAGAUCAAUGUGCUACACUGCGAAGAGUUGAGUCCCUGCGAAGGUAGAGGUGUUGCGGGCGUAUUUCCUUUCGCGCAGAUGGAAAAAGCUAAGCCGGGUAAGGGUGUUUUUGAUGUCCUGUAAGAGUUGCAGUUCAUUUAGCUAUAUAUUAUGAACAAAAGCUAUAUAUUAUGCAGUUCAUUUAGCCAGUGCUGCUUUAUGCUUACCUCGAUGGCUAGUGUGUUUUUCCGGCAUAUUUGUUCCACGGAAAGUAACUUGUUUGUCAAUUUGUUCUCCAUGAACUGAAUGGACCUUUCUAACUGUUGGAGCAUGUCAACAAGUACUUUGAUGUGACCUGAAUGCUACAAGAAAGAAGCAGUUGGUUAUGACAUUAUGUGUAGGAAGUAAUUUUUUGUUGAUAAUGUGCACUCAAAAAAACUGAGCUAAGAAUGUAUUACCUCUACGGCUGCAAUUUUUGCUGGAGAUUUGAUUUUCGUUUCAUGGUCAUCCUCACACUGAUUUAGCUCUCUGUCAUCAUCUUUUUCCUUCUCAUUGUCAGUACCGUACGGCAUGUGAUCAUUAGCAUAUGCAAAAGAUUGUUGUGCAUCUAUUUCUUCGUUGUCAGAAAGUAUGGGAUAGUCAUUUUCUAGUUCCUCAAAGGCAGUGUCUUCCUCAAUUCUCUGUUCAUUGAUAUAAAAGUCAUUUUCUCUGUCUUCAAAGCCAUGCGUGUCAUGCUCAUACCUCUGUUCAUCAUUCAAAAAGUCUGGAUGUUCUAUCUGUUCAAUAAUCUGUAUAACAUAUGGCAGCAAUUAGCAUAUGAUCUACUACUGCAACUAGUAUUUCUGUAUGUGCAGUAACUUACCAAUCCCCCCCCUUCAGCUGUUCUGCAGUCAUAUUUGUUUCUCAACCUGACAUUGGCUGCAUUCCAGAAUGAAAUCAGGGGAAUCUGACGUCCAUUGUAAUUGAUGUUGCAGAACUCAGAGUUUACUGCCUUCACAUGUUCCCAAUACCAACACUGAAUGCAAUGUAAAAAAUAAGCAUUUUGAGUACAAUAAGAAAAUAAAUUCAGCAUGUGAUAGGUUUGUAUAGUACCUGCAGUAAUGGAAGAUUGCCUUCAAUA